ACGCAUAUUUCCAAGGGCCAUGGCUGGUUGUGGCUGUGGAAUUUCCAGCUGCAUGCAAGAGCAACCUGGAGUCUUUGACAGCUCAGGUCAGCUCAGUACUUGGGCAGCUGCCACUCCCUUUCCUAUAGUG
Cynocephalus volans (Philippine flying lemur) is the source of this 130-nucleotide small nucleolar RNA. RefSeq annotates it as small nucleolar RNA SNORA44. The record is from RefSeq and is a predicted model, not a curated record. The transcript has a single exon. Lineage: Eukaryota; Metazoa; Chordata; Mammalia; Dermoptera; Cynocephalidae.